This is an RNA transcript of Nelumbo nucifera (sacred lotus), 124 nucleotides long. It is a transcript of the gene named cationic peroxidase 1-like, with no coding region annotated. Lineage: Eukaryota; Viridiplantae; Streptophyta; Magnoliopsida; Proteales; Nelumbonaceae. The record is from RefSeq and is a predicted model, not a curated record.
AACUGGAAACUACUGAGUGCCCGGGAGUUGUUUCUUGUGCAGACAUUCUAGCAGUAGCUGCUCGCGACGCCGUCGUUGCUUUGGGUGGCACUUCAUGGACAGUGCAGUUAGGGAGAAGAGAUUC